This 87-nucleotide transfer RNA is filed under the name Streptomyces capillispiralis. RNAcentral describes it as "tRNA-Trp". The record is from RNAcentral. Lineage: Bacteria; Bacillati; Actinomycetota; Actinomycetes; Kitasatosporales; Streptomycetaceae.
GGGGUCGUCGGCGAGGCCCGGAGGGUCGCUGGGCUUCUCCAGGAAGCCCUCGACGGUCCGGCCGUCCGGGCCGGGCGUGAUCACACC